Molecule: ribosomal RNA, 507 nt
Filed under: uncultured bacterium
Lineage: Bacteria
Description: partial 16S ribosomal RNA
Rfam family: Bacterial small subunit ribosomal RNA
Source: RNAcentral
UGGGGAAUAUUGGACAAUGGGCGAAAGCCUGAUCCAGCCAUGCCGCGUGUGUGAAGAAGGCCUUUUGGUUGUAAAGCACUUUAAGCGAGGAGGAGGCUACUUGGGUUAAUACUCUAGGAUAGUGGACGUUACUCGCAGAAUAAGCACCGGCUAACUCUGUGCCAGCAGCCGCGGUAAUACAGAGGGUGCGAGCGUUAAUCGGAUUUACUGGGCGUAAAGCGUGCGUAGGCGGCUUUUUAAGUCGGAUGUGAAAUCCCUGAGCUUAACUUAGGAAUUGCAUUCGAUACUGGGAAGCUAGAGUAUGGGAGAGGAUGGUAGAAUUCCAGGUGUAGCGGUGAAAUGCGUAGAGAUCUGGAGGAAUACCGAUGGCGAAGGCAGCCAUCUGGCCUAAUACUGACGCUGAGGUACGAAAGCAUGGGGAGCAAACAGGAUUAGAUACCCUGGUAGUCCAUGCCGUAAACGAUGUCUACUAGCCGUUGGGGCCUUUGAGGCUUUAGUGGCGCAGCU